AUUGAACGCUGGCGGCAGGCCUAACACAUGCAAGUCGAGCGGUAGAGAGAAGCUUGCUUCUCUUGAGAGCGGCGGACGGGUGAGUAAUGCCUAGGAAUCUGCCUGGUAGUGGGGGAUAACGUUCGGAAACGGACGCUAAUACCGCAUACGUCCUACGGGAGAAAGCAGGGGACCUUCGGGCCUUGCGCUAUCAGAUGAGCCUAGGUCGGAUUAGCUAGUUGGUGAGGUAAUGGCUCACCAAGGCGACGAUCCGUAACUGGUCUGAGAGGAUGAUCAGUCACACUGGAACUGAGACACGGUCCAGACUCCUACGGGAGGCAGCAGUGGGGAAUAUUGGACAAUGGGCGAAAGCCUGAUCCAGCCAUGCCGCGUGUGUGAAGAAGGUCUUCGGAUUGUAAAGCACUUUAAGUUGGGAGGAAGGGUUGUAGAUUAAUACUCUGCAAUUUGACGUACCGACA
RNAcentral lists this ribosomal RNA (458 nucleotides) under Pseudomonas sp. R-41732. RNAcentral describes it as "bacterial SSU rRNA". It matches the Rfam family "Bacterial small subunit ribosomal RNA", at positions 30 to 483 of the family's 1533-position model. Lineage: Bacteria; Pseudomonadati; Pseudomonadota; Gammaproteobacteria; Pseudomonadales; Pseudomonadaceae. The record is from RNAcentral.